Molecule: non-coding RNA, 26 nt
Filed under: Cricetulus griseus (Chinese hamster)
Lineage: Eukaryota; Metazoa; Chordata; Mammalia; Rodentia; Cricetidae
Source: RNAcentral
CAUUAUGUAGAAAGAGAAACAGGUUC